This 637-nucleotide ribosomal RNA is filed under the name uncultured bacterium. RNAcentral describes it as "bacterial SSU rRNA". It matches the Rfam family "Bacterial small subunit ribosomal RNA", at positions 607 to 1244 of the family's 1533-position model. The record is from RNAcentral.
GCUUAACCGAAGAAGUGCAUCGGAAACUGGGUAACUUGAGUGCAGAAGAGGACAGUGGAACUCCAUGUGUAGCGGUGGAAUGCGUAGAUAUAUGGAAGAACACCAGUGGCGAAGGCGGCUGUCUGGUCUGCAACUGACGCUGAGGCUCGAAAGCAUGGGUAGCGAACAGGAUUAGAUACCCUGGUAGUCCAUGCCGUAAACGAUGAGUGCUAGGUGUUGGAGGGUUUCCGCCCUUCAGUGCCGGAGCUAACGCAUUAAGCACUCCGCCUGGGGAGUACGACCGCAAGGUUGAAACUCAAAGGAAUUGACGGGGGCCCGCACAAGCGGUGGAGCAUGUGGUUUAAUUCGAAGCUACGCGAAGAACCUUACCAGGUCUUGACAUCUUGCGCUAGCCUAAGAGAUUAGGCGUUCCCUUCGGGGACGCAAUGACAGGUGGUGCAUGGUCGUCGUCAGCUCGUGUCGUGAGAUGUUGGGUUAAGUCCCGCAACGAGCGCAACCCUUGUUACUAGUUGCCAGCAUUCAGUUGGGCACUCUAGUGAGACUGCCGGUGACAAACCGGAGGAAGGUGGGGACGACGUCAGAUCAUCAUGCCCCUUAUGACCUGGGCUACACACGUGCUACAAUGGUCGGUACAACG